This 79-nucleotide transfer RNA is filed under the name Corynebacterium tuberculostearicum SK141. RNAcentral describes it as "tRNA-Met". It matches the Rfam family "tRNA". From Rfam's summary of the family: Transfer RNA (tRNA) molecules are approximately 80 nucleotides in length. Their secondary structure includes four short double-helical elements and three loops (D, anti-codon, and T loops). Further hydrogen bonds mediate the characteristic L-shaped molecular structure. tRNAs have two regions of fundamental functional importance: the anti-codon, which is responsible for specific mRNA codon recognition, and the 3' end, to which the tRNAs corresponding amino acid is attached (by aminoacyl-tRNA synthetases). tRNAs cope with the degeneracy of the genetic code in two manners: having more than one tRNA (with a specific anti-codon) for a particular amino acid; and 'wobble' base-pairing, i.e. permitting non-standard base-pairing at the 3rd anti-codon position. The record is from RNAcentral. Lineage: Bacteria; Bacillati; Actinomycetota; Actinomycetes; Mycobacteriales; Corynebacteriaceae.
UGGGGCUAUAGCUCAGUCGGUUAGAGCUACGGACUCAUAAUCCGUUGGUCCCGGGUUCGAGCCCCGGUGGCCCCACGGU